Molecule: ribosomal RNA, 1485 nt
Filed under: uncultured prokaryote
Description: partial 16S ribosomal RNA
Rfam family: Bacterial small subunit ribosomal RNA
Source: RNAcentral
CGCCCUUUGAGUUUGAUCCUGGCUCAGAUUGAACGCUGGCGGUAUGCUUAACACAUGCAAGUCGAACGGUAACAGGCAGAAGCUUGCUUUUGCGCUGACGAGUGGCGGACGGGUGAGUAACGCGUAGGUAUCUGCCUAGUAGUGGGGGACAACUUGGGGAAACCCAAGCUAAUACCGCAUACGCCCUUCGGGGGAAAGUGGGGGAUCUUCGGACCUCACGCUAUUAGAUGAGCCUGCGUAAGAUUAGCUAGUUGGUGAGGUAAAGGCUCACCAAGGCGACGAUCUUUAGCUGGUCUGAGAGGAUGAUCAGCCACACUGGGACUGAGACACGGCCCAGACUCCUACGGGAGGCAGCAGUGGGGAAUAUUCGGCAAUGGGCGCAAGCCUGACCGAGCAAUGCCGCGUGUGUGAAGAAGGCCUUCGGGUUGUAAAGCACUUUCAGUUGUGAGGAAAGCAUAAUGGUUAAUACCCAUUAUGUGUGACGUUAGCAACAGAAGAAGGACCGGCUAACUCCGUGCCAGCAGCCGCGGUAAUACGGAGGGUCCGAGCGUUAAUCGGAAUUACUGGGCGUAAAGCGCACGCAGGCGGUUUGUUAAGCUAGAUGUGAAAGCCCCGGCUCAACCUGGGAAUAGCAUUUAGAACUGGCAGGCUAGAGUCUUGGAGAGGGGAGUGGAAUUUCUGGUGUAGCGGUGAAAUGCGUAGAUAUCAGAAGGAACAUCAGUGGCGAAGGCGACUCCCUGGCCAAAGACUGACGCUCAUGUGCGAAAGUGUGGGUAGCGAACAGGAUUAGAUACCCUGGUAGUCCACACCGUAAACGCUGUCUACUAGCUGUUUGUGGAUUUAAUCCGUGAGUAGCGAAGCUAACGCGAUAAGUAGACCGCCUGGGGAGUACGGCCGCAAGGUUAAAACUCAAAUGAAUUGACGGGGGCCCGCACAAGCGGUGGAGCAUGUGGUUUAAUUCGAUGCAACGCGAAGAACCUUACCUACUCUUGACAUCCAGAAGAUUUAGCAGAGAUGCUUUAGUGCAUUCGGGAAUUCUGAGACAGGUGCUGCAUGGCUGUCGUCAGCUCGUGUCGUGAGAUGUUCGGUUAAGUCCGGCAACGAGCGCAACCCACAUCUUUAGUUGCCAGCAGUUCGGCUGGGCACUCUAAAGAAACUGCCCGUGAUAAGCGGGAGGAAGGUGUGGAUGACGUCAAGUCCUCAUGGCCCUUACGGGUUGGGCUACACACGUGCUACAAUGCAGUGACAAUGGGUUAAUCCCAAAAAAACUGUCUCAGUUCGGAUUGGGGUCUGCAACUCGACCCCAUGAAGUCGGAAUCGCUAGUAAUCGCGGAACAGCAUGCCGCGGUGAAUACGUUCCCGGGCCUUGUACACACCGCCCGUCACACCAUGGGAGUUGGUUUCACCAGAAGUAGCUAGCUUAACCUUCGGGAGGGCGGUUACACGGUGGGGUUCAUGACUGGGGUGAAGUCGUAACAAGGUAAC